GGUGGUUCUAUGCAAUGGUGGCUCUAUGCGGUGACAGUUCAUGGCGGCAAUGGUUCUGGGUUAUGGUGGCUCUGUGUGGUGGCGGUUCAGGGCGGGAGUGAUUCUGGGCGAUAGUGGCUCUGUGCAAUAGCUACUCUACAUUCAAUUGAGUUGGUGGCUUAGAGGGUCUCUAAGCGCAUUAGGAGGAUAUAAUGUGAAUGAGAUAGGUU
Molecule: long non-coding RNA, 209 nt
Filed under: Lupinus angustifolius (narrow-leaved blue lupine)
Lineage: Eukaryota; Viridiplantae; Streptophyta; Magnoliopsida; Fabales; Fabaceae
Description: long non-coding RNA (LANG_LNC001283)
Source: RNAcentral